AACCAUUCUCACCUGCGGCUAGACCUGCGGAGGGAUCAUUACCGAGUGUGAACCCCCCCGUAAAAAAGAGGGGUUACCUCCCGUCCUUUGCUGGGAACCCCUUUCCAACUUGGAAGGAGGUUGUUUUCAGACCCUUCUGCUUCGGUGGGGUAACCCACCGGAACAACCUCAAAAAUAUUCUCAAUUCAAAACCGUUCAGUCCGAGAACUUUUUUGAAAAGCGAAAAAACUUUUAACAAUG
RNAcentral lists this unclassified non-coding RNA (240 nucleotides) under soil metagenome. RNAcentral's name for it is "partial contains 5.8S ribosomal RNA, internal transcribed spacer 2, and large subunit ribosomal RNA". The record is from RNAcentral.